This 243-nucleotide unclassified non-coding RNA is filed under the name Hevea brasiliensis (rubber tree). The record is from RNAcentral. Lineage: Eukaryota; Viridiplantae; Streptophyta; Magnoliopsida; Malpighiales; Euphorbiaceae.
AAAUGAAACAAAUUCAACAAAAUCCAAUCUAUAAUCAGGUUAAGAUAAGAACAUGGAACGCAGAAGGGCAUAUCGAAAUAGCUAUAAGUUUCACUGAAAAAUCAGCCAAUUAACAAUACAAAAUCAAUAACUCAAAAGUGCGGGAAACACCACUACAUCGAAAUUGAAAUUAAACAAACAUUCUUCUAUUCAAUUUCUAAAAUUUAAAAGCCAAAUAUCCAUUGCGGGUCUCAUUCUCUAAUU